Molecule: ribosomal RNA, 1383 nt
Filed under: Triticum aestivum (bread wheat)
Lineage: Eukaryota; Viridiplantae; Streptophyta; Magnoliopsida; Poales; Poaceae
Description: partial small subunit ribosomal RNA
Source: RNAcentral
AUGGCGGAUCUCCUGCAGAAACUCUUGCCAGACACCCUACCAUGGGCAUGGCUGUUUCUCUUCCUCUUCGUUGUGUCUGUGCAGUACUGGUUUACUGGAAAGUUCGGUGCCAAAAGGCAGCGACUCCCGCCUUCGCCGCCGGCGCUGCCCAUCAUCGGGCACCUCCACCUCAUCGGUUCCAUCCCCCACGUCUCCCUCCGUGGCCUCGCAAAGAAGCAUGGCCCCGACGUGAUGCUCCUCCGCCUGGGCGCUGUGCCCAACCUCAUUGUAUCCUCCUCGCGUGCCGCGGAGGCGGUGCUGCGCACCCACGACCACGUCUUCGCUUCACGGCCCUACUCUGUCAUCUCCGACACCAUCAUCGUUAGGAAGGUGCAGUCUUUCCGCAGCGCCGCCGCCGAGGAGGUCAGCAUGGCGAUGGCCAAGAUCAACCAGGCAGUAGCUGCCGAUUCUGCGGCGGACAUGAGUGAGCUGCUCCACACAUUCGCGAAUGACAUGGCCUGCCGCAUUGUGUCGGGAAAGUUCUUCCUGAAAGAUGGUCAAAGCAAGUUGUUCCGGGAACUCAUCAAGGAUACCUCACAGCUGCUAGGUGGGUUCAAUUUGGAGGAGUACUUCCCGGCAGUGGGUAGGGUAGGGGUGCUCAAGAAGGCGGUUUGUGCCAAGGCCGAAAGAGUGAGGAACAGAUGGGCCGAUCUGUUGGACAAGGUGAUCGACGAUCGUGUGAGCAAGCGCAAUUCAACGUCUGAUCACAAGGAUGAUGAUUUUGUGGAUAUUAUGUUAUCUGUCCAACAGGAGUAUGAUCUCACAAGAGAGCACAUGAAAGCUCUCCUGACCCCACACCUGAUGGUGAAGCUACAAGAUGAGGUGAGGGGUAUUGUACCCCAAGGACAAGAAAUUAUCAGCGAAACCGACAUGAACAACAUGACGUACCUAAGAGCAGUCAUAAAAGAGUCGCUCCGGCUACAUCCUCUUGCUCCUCUCCUUGCUCCGCACCUUGCCAUGGCUGACUGCAUCAUCGAUGGAUACAUAGUUCCUGCUAGGACGCGUGUGGUCGUCAAUGCAUGGGCCAUUGGUAGGGAUCCGAGCUCCUGGGAAUAUGCAGAAGAGUUCAUUCCCGAAAGAUUUACAGAUGAAGGCAACAGUAUGCAUGUCAACUUCAAAGGGAAUGAUUUCCAGUUCUUGCCAUUCGGAGCAGGGCGGAGGAUGUGCCCUGGUAUGAACCUCGGAAUCGCGAAUGUGGAGCUUAUGUUGGCAAACCUUGUGUGCCAUUUUGAUUGGGAACUUCCGUUUGGGGUUGAAAGAAAAGAUAUUGAUAUGACAGAGGUGUUUGGGCUAACCGUCAGUCGGAAAGAGAAACUACUGUUGAUUCCAAAAUCACGCAUGUAG